CAAUUCUAUUUGGAUAAAGAACAAUUCUUAAAAAUAUAUAAUAAUAGUUGACUUCAGUUGUGUUAAGAACUGUAUUUUGUCCAAAUAGAAAAUUG
Non-coding RNA from Bombyx mori (domestic silkworm), 95 nucleotides. Lineage: Eukaryota; Metazoa; Arthropoda; Insecta; Lepidoptera; Bombycidae. The record is from RefSeq and is marked provisional.